GGGAGUUGUAGUCCCUGCGAGACAACGCCCUCCCGACUCCACCAGGCUCUGCACUCCAUCUCCCAGCCGACCCCGCGCCGCGGAGGAGGCGAGCUUGGUGAUGAGCUGCCGCAGCGGUAGGGGGCCUGGGGCGGAGAAGCCGCUACAGCCGCGGCUGGGCGACGCUGACAUCUGGCAUCCCUGGGGUCUCAGAGACACGGGUGGACAGCGACGAGGGCCUUGUGGCCGCCGUGUGUACCCGUGCUUACCCUCUGUCCUCCCUACAGGCGCACGGCGUCCGCCAUGGAAGCGCAUCCGACCGCUGGGGUCUCUGGGUGCCGCGGCCUCGGCUCUCCGGGGCGAUGAGGGACUAGAGGCGCCCUGAGGCCCGCCUGCCUCCCGCGCUCUGGCCACCCCGGCGGGAAAAGGAUCGGGCGGGCGGGCGGUCCCACAGUGCCCGCCUUUGCGCCGCCCCACCCCCUGGGGGCGCUGCCGAGGGGGCGCCAGCCGCCCAUGCCGCCCCGGCGCCCAGCCGCGCCUGGCGCCCGCCGCUGAAGCGCAGGACGCGCCGCCGCCCGCGCUCACCGCCGUCCGCGCCAGCCGCCCCGAGCCGACUGCCCUUCUGCCCCCAAGAUGUGGCACAGCGUCGGGCUGACUCUGCUUGUGUUCGUGGCCACGCUGCUGAUCGUCCUGCUGCUGAUGGUGUGCGGGUUGGUAUUUU
This 700-nucleotide long non-coding RNA is filed under the name Pan troglodytes (chimpanzee). RNAcentral's name for it is "long non-coding RNA NONPTRT014499". The record is from RNAcentral. Lineage: Eukaryota; Metazoa; Chordata; Mammalia; Primates; Hominidae.